This 253-nucleotide ribosomal RNA is filed under the name uncultured bacterium. RNAcentral's name for it is "partial 16S ribosomal RNA". It matches the Rfam family "Bacterial small subunit ribosomal RNA", at positions 524 to 776 of the family's 1533-position model. The record is from RNAcentral.
UACGGAGGGGGCUAGCGUUGUUCGGAAUUACUGGGCGUAAAGCGCACGUAGGCGGCUUUGUAAGUUAGAGGUGAAAGCCUGGAGCUCAACUCCAGAAUAGCCUUUAAGACUGCAUCGCUUGAAUCCAGGAGAGGUGAGUGGAAUUCCGAGUGUAGAGGUGAAAUUCGUAGAUAUUCGGAAGAACACCAGUGGCGAAGGCGGCUCACUGGACUGGUAUUGACGCUGAGGUGCGAAAGCGUGGGGAGCAAACAGG